RNAcentral lists this long non-coding RNA (972 nucleotides) under Homo sapiens (human). RNAcentral describes it as "HSALNT0211945". Lineage: Eukaryota; Metazoa; Chordata; Mammalia; Primates; Hominidae. The record is from RNAcentral.
GUGGGUGACUCUGCAAACAGCCCUGGACAACUUUCAGGAAGACAGUUCUGGUCUGUAGCAAUUAACACAUGGUCAUCCUCAGAAAAAGGAGAUACCCAUAACUUAAAAUGCAGGAACCAAGAGAUUUGAGCCUAGACAUUUGGAUGAAAAGCGAUUUCCACCUGGAGAAAGUCACUGCCCUUCUGUGCAGAGUACCAUUGUGUCUUGAAUCCAGCUUGGCCAUAAGGAAAUGGGGCGAGACUUUGUCAUGUAUGUCGCUGAAGUUCAGCUAUGCAAAAAUGUUCACCUAUCCUUGAUCAACCAGUCCAGGAACCAUCAAAGAAGAAAAUGAGAUUCGACUUAGAAGACCUGUUCUUUAUAAACCCCUGCACAGCCCUAAUGAUCAACACCACUUCCAGUGCUCAUAAAUUACUGCUUCAAUAAUUGUUCUGCAAUUCUGCCUAUUCUCAUUGAAUGCUUCGUAUAAUCCCUUUAUUUACUUUGGGCUACGAUUCAUUUUUAUCAGUCAAAUGACUACUAGACUAUCCUGGUUUCUAAUUUGAAAUGUAUCCAAAGAAGAUUCCUGUCUCACCCUCUGCAAUCCACUUGCAUGUCUGACCACACUCGGUGCCUACACAAUCUUCACUUUGUCUAGCCUAAAUUCUUCUAACUGUGGCCUAAGGCCUUGGAAGAAUGAUGCCUCUGUGGGGUAAGAACUGCCUUCGUGGCAUAAGAAAGGCAGACCUGGGUGAUCUGGAAGGGCUGUUGCAAGGGGAUAGGAGUGCUGAGGCCUUUUCCAUUAAGAAUACACAGGACUAUGGAGACUCUUGUUUUACUAGAAACUUCUUCACAGAUACCUUAAAUUAGGAAGAAAAUGCCUUUGGUUCUUGGUUCUACUAUUGGCUUCAAAUUCUUAGGCAUGCCAGACCCUACUGAACAUCUUGACACAUGUCCUUUCUUCUCUGAACUGGCGCACAGGCAUGGUGAGUAACU